CUAGGGAGUUCUGGUGGACAAAAAGCCGGACAUGAGCCAGAAGUGCGUGCUUGCAGCCCAGAAGGCCAACAGUGUAUUGGGCUGCAUCAACAGAGGGGUGGCAGCAGGUUGAGGGAGGGGAUUGUCACCCUCUGCUCUAUCCUUGUGAGACUCCAUCUGCAGUACUGCGUCCAGGCCUGGGGCCACCAGCUUAGGAAAGAUGUGGAGAUGUUGGAGCAGAUCCAGAGGAGGGCCAUGAAGAUGCUCAGAGGGCUGGAGCACAUCUCUUACGAAGAAGGGUUGGGAGAGUUGGACUUGUUCAGUCUGGAGAAGAGAAGACCUCAUUGCAAUCUUCCAGUAUUUAAAGGGAUUAUUAACAGGAGAGAAAUCAACUAUUUACAGAGACCAACACAAAUCACAUCGGGGCAUUUGGAGAUCGGUGUUGCUUCCCCAGCUGCCAUGCUGGACAAUGCUGUGCCUCUCUGAUUCUGCUGUUCAGGUAUUGUCCAGUGUGUUGAACAGAACGGAUUGUUGUUAGAAAGAAAGGUAAAGCUUCUCACUGCAGACAUGCCUAUGGUGGGAUGCUGUUCACAGGAGAAUGGUGUUUGAGCCAGACUGGGUACUGUGAGACCUUCCUGACACGCCAAAAGGCUGCGCUGACAUUCAGCAAGACCUGGACAGAAUGGAGAGUUGAGCGGAGAGGAAACUGAUGAGGGUCAGCAAGUGCAAAUGUAGAGUCCUGCACCUGGGGAGGAACAACUGCAUGCAGCAGUUUGGCCAUGAGCCAGCAGUGUGCCCUGGUGGCCAAGAAGGCCAGUGGUAUCCUGGGGUGCAUUACAAAGAGCAUGGCCAGCAGGACGACAGAGGUGAUCCUCCCCCCUCCACUCUGCCCUGGUGAGGCCAUACCUGGAGCACUGUGCCCAGUUCUGGGCUCCCCAGUUCAAAAAAGACAGGGGUCUCCUGGAGAGAGUCCAGCUGGGGGACACAAAGAUGUGAGGGACCUGGAGCAUCUCCUCUGUGAGGACUGGCUGAGAGACCUGGGGUUGCGCAGCCUGGAGAAGAGAAGGCUGAGAGGGGAUCUCAUCAAUGCUUAUAAGCAUUUAAAGUGCAGGUGUCAAGUGGAUGGGGCCAGGCUCUUUUCGGUAGUGUGCAACAACAAGACAAGGGGUAACGGGCACCAACUGGAACACAGGAAGUUCCCUACUAACAUGAGGAAGAACUUUACUGUGAGAGUGCAAGCACUGGAGCACUGGAACAGGCUGCUCAGAGAGGUGAUGGAGUCUCCUUUUCUGGAGAUAUUCAAGACCCACCUGGAUGCUUUCCUGCUGCACCUACUGGAGGAACCUGCUAUAACAGGGGGUUGGACCCCAUGACUUCCAGAGGUUCCCUCCAACUCCUAUGAUUCUAUGGGAGAAAGAGAAUCAUUCAGUCAGUUAAUUCCUCUGUAAAGGAAUAUGUCUAACUGCAGUCCUAUAAACAUAAAUUACUUUAUCAAGAAACAUGUACUCCAGGAAGAAAAAGCCAAUAUUUAUAUUCUAGCUCCCAACUUCCCAUUAAACCUAAGCAGAAGUUGUAAAACUGAAGCUGAACUAGAAAAAAUAUUGUCACUAUAUUUUGGUUUUGGAUCUCCACUUGAAACCCACAUUGGGGAAGGCCUGGGAAGAUUUUAGACAGAAAAAAAAAACCCCACAAAAAAAUUGAUUCUCAUGAGAAGCUGCUUCUGGCUGGCAGACUCCAACCUGCACCAUUCACUGAAGAGCAGACAAUGACAAAGAAGACAACUUUGUCUUCUCUGUUGUGGCUGCUGCCCCAGCAGAUGCCAGUGAGAAGGUAAAUAUGGCCCUUUGCAAGGUUGACUUGGGUGAAAUGAAGUUAUGCAGAAGCUGUAAAAAUAAAACAAAUCACAAGGGAAACCAGAGAAUCCAUCUUAACUUUAUUGUUUGCUACUGCUGGUUAUGGUAUUAAUGCUUUGUAUGGUUAUUCACUUUGGAUGCUAAAUUAGAUUUGGGGAGAGGGGGGGAUUUAAGUUGUGGAAACCAAAACACCAGCUUAGCAGAUCUUGAGGACUUAAGCAUUUAAUGAUAUUAAAAAGGAAGUUUGAUAUGCAUAGCUCAAAAGCUUCCAAAAUAAUUUGCAACAAGUAGCAGCAGCUAUCUCACAUCAAAGAAAGCCUGAAGGCUGAUGUGAAAUUGCAUAAGGCUCCUAUUAAAUAUUGAGAGCGUAAGGAGGAAUGAAUGUUAGAUGUAUGCAUAUACAAUAACAAACAUACACAGAUACCUACAUAUACACCUGUGCAUCACUCCAAAAUAUCUGUAGCUGUAUUUCUCUGUAUAUCUAUGUACGAACCUAAAAGUCACAUCAAUUUGAAAUCCAAUGGUACCCAGCACCCAAUCAGACAUUUUCUCCUGUGCAAUACUGUAAUUAUUAAUGUGAUUCUUUUUCCUAAAAGUAAAGACAGUCAACCACUUCUAUUACUAGCUAAUUCAAAUGUGGUUUGAAGUGCAUCAUUCAUGCUUAUUCCCGUGAGUGCUGAUAGAUAGGUAUUGUACAAUAUGGAUUUUUUUCCAAGCUAUAGGCCAUGAUGUUAAUCAGACACAUAUUAGUGUCAAGUCUGUGAGAUCUGGAUGUCAAUGACAGCACAACUGAGCACCCAGUGACUUAUGACAAGGGUUGAAGUUUUAUCACAGAUUGUGUUUUGGAUGGUUCCUCACAGUGGAAUAGCCACCAGUAAUCAUUACAAAGAGCCAUGUAAAUCAAUGCAGAAUGGGUCUUAAAUGAGGCUUUAUAUGUAAUGGAUAGAAAAGGAAAACUUCCUGAUUUAUUCCAAAUCCUGUUUUAAUUAACACUUACUCCUAGUCUGGCUUUAUGUUUACUUUUCAUCUCCUGCCUGUCAUUUAUUUGAUGUCUCUAGUGCAAUGGGAGUGAUACUUAAAAUGAAAAGGG
Gallus gallus (chicken) is the source of this 2922-nucleotide long non-coding RNA. RefSeq lists it as uncharacterized. Lineage: Eukaryota; Metazoa; Chordata; Aves; Galliformes; Phasianidae. The transcript has 3 exons. The record is from RefSeq and is a predicted model, not a curated record.